UACGUAGGGAGCAAGCGUUGUCCGGAAUCAUUGGGCGUAAAGCGCGCGUAGGUGGCUUCAUAAGUCCGUUGUGAAAGUCAAAGGCUCAACCUUUGAAAGCCGAUGGAUACUGUGGAGCUAGAGUACGGAAGAGGCGAGUGGAAUUCCGGGUGUAGCGGUGGAAUGCGUAGAGAUCCGGAAGAACACCAGUGGCGAAGGCGGUCUGCUGGGCAGUUGCUGACACUGAUGCGCGACAGCGUGGGGAGCAAACAGG
This 253-nucleotide ribosomal RNA is filed under the name uncultured bacterium. RNAcentral's name for it is "partial 16S ribosomal RNA". It matches the Rfam family "Bacterial small subunit ribosomal RNA", at positions 524 to 776 of the family's 1533-position model. The record is from RNAcentral.